RNAcentral lists this long non-coding RNA (440 nucleotides) under Bos taurus (domestic cattle). RNAcentral's name for it is "long non-coding RNA NONBTAT019281". The record is from RNAcentral. Lineage: Eukaryota; Metazoa; Chordata; Mammalia; Artiodactyla; Bovidae.
UUUCUUCCCAGGUGAAAACUUUAUUUCCUCUAGUUACAUAAUAAGGUAGAGAUAACAUCUCCAUCUGAUAGCAAUCCUGUUUUAAUAAAUGCUAGUUAAUGGGGUAGAAAAUGGAUCACUAAAGUGGCAUGAUAAUUGUCAAGAGCUUCCUUUGAUAGAUGUUAUGCUGAGAAAUAAUUUUCAUUAUCAUUAGUGAGUUAAAAGAUCACCUGAUAUUCAAUUUUAAGACUGAACUUCCCAUCUCACUGAUUAGUCAGAAAUAUGUUGAGUGAUUAUUUUAUUCUUGUCCCACAAGAUUCCUAUUUUCCCCUUCUGUUGGGAUAACCCAUGAUUGCCACUUUGAUCAGCACUUAUUUCCUGCUUCUUAAACAACUCAAAUAGUGAUACUGAUGUCAACAUGUACACGCUUUUCCUCCUUCCUCACUCACCACACUCUCCCC